Molecule: ribosomal RNA, 244 nt
Filed under: Partulina mighelsiana
Lineage: Eukaryota; Metazoa; Mollusca; Gastropoda; Stylommatophora; Achatinellidae
Description: partial 16S ribosomal RNA
Source: RNAcentral
UUGAAGUCGAGAAUGAAAGGAAAAAUUAAAAUAAACUGUCUUAAAAGUUUUUUUUGAAAAUUACUAAUAUGGUGAAAAUUCCAUAAAUAAAAUUUAAUAGACGAGAAGACCCUAUGAAUUAUUAUUAAAAAUUUUAUUUAAAAAUUUUUAAAUUUUUGUUGGGGCAACAGGAAUUAUUUUUAAUUGAAAAAAUUCUAAUUUUAAAAAAUAACAUUUGAAGUUUUUACUAUAAAUGAAUUUAAUU